Molecule: ribosomal RNA, 759 nt
Filed under: uncultured Prevotella sp.
Lineage: Bacteria; Pseudomonadati; Bacteroidota; Bacteroidia; Bacteroidales; Prevotellaceae
Description: bacterial SSU rRNA
Rfam family: Bacterial small subunit ribosomal RNA
Source: RNAcentral
GAUGAACGCUAGCUACAGGCUUAACACAUGCAAGUCGCAGGGUAACAUGAGGAAAGCUUGCUUUCCUUGAUGACGACUGGCGCACGGGUGAGUAACACGUAUCCAACCUUCCCAUAACUACGGGAUAACCCGUUGAAAGACGGCCUAAUACCGUAUGACAUCGUUUGCUGACAUCAAAUAACGAUUAAAGGUUUAGCGGUUAUGGAUGGGGAUGCGUCUGAUUAGCUUGUUGGCGGGGUAACGGCCCACCAAGGCGACGAUCAGUAGGGGUUCUGAGAGGAAGGUCCCCCACAUUGGAACUGAGACACGGUCCAAACUCCUACGGGAGGCAGCAGUGAGGAAUAUUGGUCAAUGGGCGAGAGCCUGAACCAGCCAAGUAGCGUGCAGGAAGACGGCCCUAUGGGUUGUAAACUGCUUUUAUGUGGGGAUAAAGUGCGUGACGUGUCAUGCAUUGCAGGUACCACAUGAAUAAGGACCGGCUAAUUCCGUGCCAGCAGCCGCGGUAAUACGGAAGGUCCGGGCGUUAUCCGGAUUUAUUGGGUUUAAAGGGAGCGUAGGCUGUCUAUUAAGCGUGUUGUGAAAUAUACCGGCUCAACCGGUGGCUUGCAGCGUGAACUGGUCGACUUGAGUAUGCAGGAAGUAGGCGGAAUUCAUGGUGUAGCGGUGAAAUGCUUAGAUAUCAUGACGAACUCCGAUUGCGCAGGCAGCUUACUGUAGCAUAACUGACGCUGAUGCUCGAAAGUGCGGGUGUCAAACAGG